Cyprinus carpio (common carp) is the source of this 4297-nucleotide long non-coding RNA. RefSeq lists it as uncharacterized. NCBI's taxonomy places the organism in Eukaryota, Metazoa, Chordata, Actinopteri, Cypriniformes, Cyprinidae. The record is from RefSeq and is a predicted model, not a curated record.
UUUUGUUAAAUUAAAAUAUACUUUAAUGUCUAUUGAAACUUGUGUGUUAUUUAAAUAUAUUCAUAAUUGCACAUUAAUGAUGGAGUUGCUAUUUAGUACAUUUAAAUUAUAUUAACUUUAAAUGUAAUAUUCAAAUUAUGAUCCUGACUUAUAUUGUUUACACAAGCAACCAGAAGCUAGAUUUGACAAUGUAUCUAAUCUGUGAUGUUCAAAAUGGGAGGAAAUACAUGAAGAAGGGCCCUCAUUAAACCAUUCCCAUGCUCCCACAAAUACACAACAUCUGUAAAUCCUUAAAUGAUCCACCAGCCAGAGAGAUACAUACAUUCUCUUUCAUGUGGCCCAACCCUGAAAAGGGAUUGUUCAUGAAAACCCCUUCGGUUCCUUUGAGAAACAGAGAAAUGUGUAGGAAGAUUUCCUCACAGACUUUAAUCUGUUGUUUGAGGAGGUUGCUCUCUUACCUGCCUGUAAAAUUCAGGUCCAGAUUGAUUCUUCUGCUUUUACACAGUGUUUUAAACUCCAGUUUGAAAGUGUAAAUGUCUCUUCGUUGAGGUUUGACCACCUUUGGAGUUUCCUAGGGAACUUGAAACUUUGGUUUGUGGUUUGUUUAGAGUCUGGUGGCAAAGGUGAAUGAGCAAGACCUAUUAUGUAGUCAAUGGAUACAACAACAAAACCUUGUUUGAGCUCUAUGUAAUUAUGUGUUUCAGUGUUAAACCAGGGCACCAUUUCAAAGUAAGAAUGCUCAGCGUUUCCAUGAUUUCUUUUCUGAUUUCGUUCCAGACCAAAUGUGUUCACAUGUGCAGCAUGAUUGAUCCUUGCAUCUGUAAUCCACAUUCUGCUCAUUGUGUUAUUCAAAAGCUGUAGUGAAUUGCAAAAACACCAUCUAAAGUUUGUGAAACACAUCACAGAUGGAUUGACAUUCUCUUUCCUGUUCCCCUCCCCAGCCUCUCGCCCAUUGUUAAACUGUCAGGGCAUGAUGAUGGCUGCUAGCUAAAGAAAAGCAUGUUUUAGAUUUAUAAGCAUGUGUAGUCAUUCCAACAGCAUGUACCUUUGUUUCAAAUAAAAAUAAUGCUUUGUCCAUCUAUUACAAUUAUGAAUAAGUGGCCUGAUAGUCAGAAUUUUGAUUUGAAUGUUAUCAUAAGUCUCAAUUUUGCGACUCAAAUCUUGAGUCUCAUUUACUCGCCAAAUGUGCCCUGUCUUUCUGUCAGCACAUUGGCCAGUGCAAGCCCCCAUGAUCCUUUGGUGCCGCUAACUUACUUGUGUCUGUUCUACAAAAGUACAUUACCUUGCAGCACAGGUGAUGUAAUGUCCAUCGAGAGUACGCUUGCAAAACAAGUUUAAAUAGUUGAACUGGAAUAUGAUUUAAAAUUUUGGCUUUUCAAAUAGAAAGCAUAAUAAAAUCACUCUGUUUGAUGGGUUUUACAAUGAGGCAAAUGUGUUUUAAUAAUUUUAAGCUCUUCAGAAAUGGCUGGUUUCGUUCUUUCAACACCCUAGAAUAAAUAUAUAUAUUUCUGUCAGGACUACUAUCAUCAAAGAUAACUUACAAUUAGCAUAGAUUUUAGAUUGGGGGUACAAUUCUGUUCUGGAAAACACUCCCUGCCUAUCCAGCACCCCCCAACCCCCCACCCCCACAACUAUAUAAUUGAAGCCUAGUUUGCCAGUUUACAUCAAACACAGCAUACUGCAGCUGUAGAAGUGAGCAAAUGAACUGGUUUAGAGAUCACAGAUUCUACCUGGCCUAAAGCCAAGGAAAUAAUUUUUACUUGUCUAGAAAAUCCUUCUUGAUUUAAGAAUUUUUAGAUAUCUGGGCUAGAAACAAGACAAAAAAUCUAAGUAAUAAAAGCUUCUUUUUUUUGCAGUGUAGCAAACAUGUUACUGAACAACUAGCCUUAAACAAUGAGCAAAAUUUGAUUAUAGCAUAUUUGCCAACUUAGCAUUAUGCAAUGAGAAUGAAAUAAGAAACUUAGCUUCAUUUCGUGAAGACAUUCAGAGAUGAAUAAAGGGUGAAAUGGCCAGUUGUUACGUGGAUGCUUUAACCCUUCUUGAUAUCUUGCUUCUUCCAGCGGGGACAACAGAUCUUGUGUAAAAGUGUUGUUGAUGCAGUCACAUUAGCACAACUUCAGCAAGGAAUUGUGGGCAAAGUGUCUAUGUCAAUCGCGAGAAGCAGUGCUCGCUCAGGUCACUUGCAAGUCUAUCGUCUUAUAUCAAUCAACGCGGCGAAUUUGUUCUCAAGUUCCCGAACUGGUGAGAUACUCCGAUGGAAAUGAACCCCUGGAAUUUGUAGUCUGAUUAGCUCCUGUGCAAAGCGAUAGCUGCUGAAUAAUGACUGAUAUAUGUAUAUACAACCUAAAUGAAAGAGAAAUAUUGUAAUUUUUUCUCUCAAAAGUCUGUCUCGUUGUGCUCUUUGUAUAAUAAGAACAUUCCCAACAUUAGCCAACUAUAACAUUAACUUUAUAAAGUGAAUGUCUCAGCAUAUUAUGGAUUUACACUUUAUCCUGCGACAGGAGCGGGUCCCGUUUUUGCUUUACAUCAAAGAGCUCUUUCUUUUCUCCAUUCUUCUGUUGAUUUUCACAUAUGGAGCCAAGCUUACUGCUAUAUAAACAUGCUAUCAUGUGUAUUAGCAGAACCAUGUUGCAUUAAAAUUGCCCACUAGCAGGGAAAACAGAUACUAACCGCUCCAACCAAGCUCUUCAGUGAUCUUCUUUGUUAUUUUAGCAGUAAAGCAUGAUAACAUGGAUUCUUGUGAUUUGCUUGGUGCUGUGUUUGUGUUGGAUUAUAUCAAUGAGAACCAAAUGUUGUACAGUUUAUGCUGACUGUGUCAGCUGCUCACUCAUUCUUCUUCUACAUUUUAGAUGGAUCAAAGAAGACAGUUGAUGAUGGAUUCUCCAAGGGAACUCCCAGGACUCUUCAGAGUCCACAGUGAUGAACAAACACGUACUGGUCUUGUAAUAGUCAUAGACGUUCACUACAGCUGGUUUCAAGUUCUGCACCAGGACUUCCUGCACAAGCUUCAGGCUGAUGGACUUCUCCUCAUUCUUUUUCAACUGGAAAGGAAGAGAAAGUUAUUAAAUUAUGAUUAAGGAGAGAUUUGUUUUUUAUUGGGGAUGGACAUAAAAGAAUGUGUUUAAGGAAUAGUUCACCCCAAAACUAAAAUUUGUUUCUUCAUAUGAACAGUUUUAGAGAAAUUUAGCAUGACAUUGCUUGCUCACAAAUGGAUCUUCUGCAGUGAAUGGGUGCUGUCAGAAUGAGAGUACAAAAAGCUGAUGAAAACAUCCCAAUAAUCCACAAGCAAUAAACACAACUCCAGAUUAAUGAUGGAUUUAUUACAAACGUGCAGCUUUUCACAACUCAAGAUGUUAACUCGUGGACUGGAGUGUUUUUAUCAGCUGUAUGGACUCUCAUUCUGACGGCACCCAUUCACUGCAGAGCAUGUGAUGCAAUACUACAUUUCUCCAACUCUGUUCUGAUGAAGAAAAAAACUUGUCAAUAUCUUGAUUGGACUGAACUAUUCCUUUAAGUAAUCAGGGUCAGUUUAUCGCUUAUAUUGUCAAAAUAUCUGCAAUCCCAAAAAGGUUUUCAACUCCUCAAGGUAUUUGAAUAAAACAUUUACACUAUCCAAAUAGAAAAAGACACGAUCCUCAUCCAGAUCCAGACGUUUGAUGGUGGGGUCUUCCCUCAGCUGUGGAGACAGAGGAGCGAAUGAAAAUGAAUCAAAUGCUGGUUGCACAACUUGAUCAAAAGAGGACCAGAGCCGUUCAAGUGUCACUCACAGCCUGCAGAGACGUCUCAUCCGGCUUAAACCCAGACAGGAGCCUGACGUUAAUGAUCACCAUGUUGGUCUCCUCUCGUGUGCCGCUAUACCUGUAAUACAAUCGUUCCAACAAUCACAAAGAGGGUUCGCAAUCAUACAUUGUUCUGUAUGUAGUCUGACAGACAGCAAAGAGUCUAUUAGGGCCAUAAUGUACGCUAAAUCUUUCUUCAUUCUUUCCCUAUAGAGUCAGAUGGAUAGGUUACAUGGAUAUGGAAACUGGGCCAUUCGAUGCAAUUAGUACAUUCUGGGUAAAUACCAGUUAUUAUUGUAUCGAUGAAAUUUUUAAGUGUUGGAGAAGAAUUUGCAGAGUGAUGAAAAUCAGUGAUCAGGUGAUGGUUUGUUUAAGAGAAAUAGCAAGAGAUCCAGAUUUUAAACCAAAUACUUUUGAUGAUGUCUUUAAGGUUUGGGCUAACAAAGGACUUAAAAGAUUUGAUCAAAUUUAUGGAGACCAUGAGAUGGUGACAUUUGAGAAUAUAGAGAAAAAAUAUG